Long non-coding RNA from Spinacia oleracea (spinach), 1480 nucleotides. RefSeq lists it as uncharacterized. The record is from RefSeq and is a predicted model, not a curated record. Lineage: Eukaryota; Viridiplantae; Streptophyta; Magnoliopsida; Caryophyllales; Amaranthaceae. The transcript is spliced from 3 exons.
UGAACAUUAACCAUAUGAUUAUUAUAAACAAACAAAUAAACAAGAAAGAACAAACAAUAUAAAAAAGAACAUAAAAUUCCAGAAGAAAUAACAAAAAAUACAACAAUUAUGAAAAUUUGAUGAUGAAUUUAAAAAACAACAUGAAAGAACAAACAGUACAACAAGAAAGAACAAUCAGUACAAUAAGAAUGAACAAACAGUACAAUAAAAAAGAACAAACAGUCGACAAGAAUGAACAAACAAUAUGAGCGCGUCGUUUUUGGGGUACAGCCAGAGCUGGCUGUACCCGGGUACAACAGUCCGCAAUUAUCAUUUGUACCCUUAUUUCUCCAAAGACAAACAAGCCCAUUUUCUUCCUCUUCAUCUUACGUGUAGAGCGAAGGCCUUAACCAACAAGCUUUUGACUUAUUUCUUUUCUAAAGUACAAAGCAAAAUUCACUUUUCUCAUUUCUUCCUCUGUACUGGCAAUGGUGAGGUUGGACAACAAGUUAUUUUGACUCAUUUGUUCCUAAAUUCAGUCCAAGUUCAUAGCAAUUUCACCUCAUCCUUCUCCUUCCUUGCAUGGCAACAUUUUGGAGAGACAAAUGUCUGAAAAAUUCUUUGCUUACAUGACUCAUCCUUGUGAACAAUUUGUAUAAAUAGGCCUGAAAACUCCAUUGCUAUGCAUACUCAAGCUAAUAUUUCUGGUUUCAUUCCUUUUUCUCCAUUGUUUAUGUUCUCCAAUUCAAGGAACCAACAAUUGAAUUAUACCCAUUUUCUCUCUCCUCCAUUCGACCACCGCGGAGCCACCCCUUGGCCGCUGCUGUGGACCACCACUUUCGGCCGGAAAAUCCAUUCAGCCACCUCUUUCACCUCUCCGACCCGGCGCAGUCGCCGGAUUCCAUUGCAACCCAUGUUGCUAUGGGUAUGGUUGUUGCGUGAGCUUCUUAUCUGCUAUACUCUUGUUCUUGUAAUUUUCCUCCUUGUGUUUACUGCCCAAUUGUAAUUGAGUGGGCCAAAGUCAAACAAAAGAUAUGUUGGGCCUUAAUUAUUUGGAGAAUAAGACAAUAAUCUAGUUGUUGGAGUUGGUCUAAAGAAAUUGGCGGCAAUGAUAGUUUAAGAGUUAAACUUCGGUAUUGAGUUAGACAAUACGGUUAACGAUCGAGGUUCGAUUAAGGAGCUCAAGUUGCUCAAAUGAGAGUUAUUACUGGAGUUGGUAAUUUAUUUUGGAGAUAUCGAGACGAGAAAUUAUUUAUUAUGGAAAUCCUGUUAUUGAGUUUUUGAUUAUGAGAAUAUUGAAUUAUAUUUUAUCUUGGGAAUAUUGUAUUAUUUGUGGAAUAUUAUUGAGGAUUAUUUUAUUUGUGGGCCCCAUACCCACAGGUCCCAGGAUUAAUUAAGCCUAAUUCCGCUGCUAAUGAUCAGUUAAGUACGGUUUAUUACCGGUAAUUAAGGUGCCGAAAAGUUGGGGCGUUACAAAAACUCUAUAUAAAAUACACAUAUC